RNAcentral lists this long non-coding RNA (640 nucleotides) under Musa acuminata (dwarf banana). RNAcentral describes it as "long non-coding RNA (MACU_LNC006087)". The record is from RNAcentral. Lineage: Eukaryota; Viridiplantae; Streptophyta; Magnoliopsida; Zingiberales; Musaceae.
UGCAAAUUAAAAGAGUACCUACUCCAGCUAGCAAUAAUAGAUGAAUUUACCCAAAUUGCAAGCUCGUCUUUACCAGUCAGUUCAGUUUAAGAUCAAAACCACUUUCAUGCUGGAGAGGAUUGCAGUCUCUCAGUUCAAUAUGAAGAAAAACAUUUAAAUACAGAUUCAUACUUAAGAGGCCAAAAGCAUUAACAUUCUUUACCUCGACUUUCUUAUUUGAUAAUAGAAUCAUCUAAAUAUGGAAAAUUGUCUCACAAAGAGAAAAACAUCUCACCUCUGCCAACAACUACCUCAUUUGCCUGUGUUAUAUCAGAAAUGGGCAAGGAUUUCCGAUACAGCAAGCCUCUGCAGCUUCCAUGAACUUAUGACUGUCAAAUAUGGGAAUUUAUGAAGUGAUAAACAGUGUAACUGAGAUCUGAAGACGAACAUUUAAAGACGGAUUAAUGUAUAUGCUAUGCUUAAGAGACCAAGAGUAUUAGCAUUCUUUUUCUCGAUAUGAUUAUUUGAUAAUAGUUCAUCAAGAUAACCUACACUAAUGGAAAAUUGACUCACAAAGAGAGACAUUUUAAUUUUCACCCUUGUCAAUAACUACAGUUGCCUAAGUUAUAGUAGACAUCACAAGGAUUUCCUUUGAUGCAGC